AUAAUGAAGCUUUAAGUUAGUAUUUUAGUUCAUUGCUUUUAUACUUAGAUUCUGAUUUAUGUUAUGUUUAGCUAAUAAGAUUAUGUGUGGUUUAAGUUAGUAGUUCAUUGCUUUCAUACUGAGAUUCUGCUUAUGUUAUGUUUAAUUAAUAAGAUUAUGUGUGGUUUUAUGAUGAAGCUUAAGCUCGUGUCUUAGUUUAUUGCUUCUAUACUUAGAUUUUGUCUACAUUAUACUUAGUCAAGGUGAUUGUGUGUGGUUUAUGAUAGAGGUUUGAGUUAAUAUGCUGGUCUAUUACCUUUCUUUUCCAUUUAUUGCCAUACUAUGCUUGGUUAAUAUGAUUGUUUGUGGUUUAGGACAAAGCUCAAACCUGACAUGCUUGUUGUGAUUCCUUUUUAGAUUAUGUCUGCAUUAUGCUUAUUUAAGGUGUUUUAUGUGGGUUAGAGGGUAGUUUCAAGUUGAUAGGCUGUUUUGACUCAAUCUUGUAUUCAGAAUUUCUGUUCAUGCCUUGUGACUAGUUGUUUUUACAUAUAAUUUAGAUUAUAGCACUAAGUUGAUUAACUUGCUUAACUUGGACUUGCACUUAGCUUUCCUGUUUAUGCCUUUGCUUGUUUAGCUGUGACUAAGGGUCUCUAAGUGUAACGACCCAUUUGGUCGUUUAGCACUUUAAAACUACGAAAAUGGUAUGGGACUAUAUUGUAUUUAGUUAUAUGAUUUGAAUACAUGUUAUAGUUUAUAUGAGAUGAUGAAUAGAGCGAAGUAAUCUGAGGACUAAUGAUAUAUUUCAUCCGGUGAAAGGGCAAUUGAUGUCUUAGGAAGGCAUUUGAUAUGUAAAAGGAAAAAUAAAUAAAGAAGGCCACUUUCAUUAUGAUGCCAGGAAUGAGUGGCAUUUGAAAUAAAAAAAAUAAUAAUAAUAAAGUAGGCUAGCCCACCAUUCCUUGUUUUAUGCAUCCUUGUUUUGUGCAUUUAGUCAUCAUAACCUUGUGUUGUGCACGUUAUAUUCCAAAAGGAGGAAAAACGUAGAAGGAAAAAUCUUGUUCUGUGCAAGAUAUAUUACGAAAGAAAGAGGAAAAAAUAGAAGGAAAAAUUAUUCACUUAUUUCUAACCUAGAGGGGAGAAAAAGGACGAACAGAAGGAGCUUUGUCAAUUAAUGUUGAAGGAGCAGUGAAGCUUUAUUUUAUUUCCACCAAAUACAAAGGCAAUCAGAUUUUGAUCGUUCAGAGGCUCUACGCAAAGGGAAGACAUUAGUUUGAUUGUUCGUGGCACCCGCUCGGCAUUGAGAGUACGAUCCAGGUUCCAGUUCUACACCCUGUGGCUGAUACGCGAGGGUGACAUCUUUCAGUCAUUCAGGGUGAGCUACUUGGUCAUCCGUGGCCCCUGAAGGACCUCCUCUAUUUAUUCUGUUUUUGUAUUCUACAGACAAUAUGUAGCCUUCUGGCAUUUUCAGACUUCUAUUCGGUAAUAUGUUAGCGCUCUUGUACCCUUUGACCAGAUUUUUGGGGUUGUCGUGACAUUUCUAGUUAUGAUAAGUAUUUAAGACUUGAUAACUUAUUCUUAAAUUAAU
Lycium barbarum (goji berry) is the source of this 1561-nucleotide long non-coding RNA. RefSeq lists it as uncharacterized. The transcript has 3 exons. NCBI's taxonomy places the organism in Eukaryota, Viridiplantae, Streptophyta, Magnoliopsida, Solanales, Solanaceae. The record is from RefSeq and is a predicted model, not a curated record.